GUUUGAUCCUGGCUCAGAGCGAACGUUAGCGGCGGGCCUAACACAUGCAAGUCGUGCGAGAAAGUCGGCUUCGGCCGGCGAGUAGAGCGGCGCACGGGUGAGUAACACGUGGACAAUCUGCCCUUCGGUGGGGGAUAACUUUCCGAAAGGAUUGCUAAUACCGCAUAAGACCACGUCCUCUUCGGGGGAUGAGGUCAAAGACGGCCUCUUCAUGAAAGCUGUCGUCGAAGGAUGAGUCCGCGGCCCAUCAUGCUAGUUGGUAGGGUAAUGGCCUACCAAGGCGAAGACGGGUAGCUGGUCUGAGAGGAUGACCAGCCACACUGGAACUGAGACACGGUCCAGACUCCUACGGGAGGCAGCAGUGGGGAAUAUUGGGCAAUGGGCGAAAGCCUGACCCAGCCACGCCGCGUGAGUGAUAAAGGCCUUCGGGUCGUAAAGCUCUGUGGGGAGGGAAGAAACCUUCCAGGGAACAAUACCCCUGGGACUUGACGGUACCUCCUUAGCAAGCACCGGCUAACUCCGUGCCAGCAGCCGCGGUAAUACGGAGGGUGCAAACGUUGCUCGGAAUCAUUGGGCGUAAAGCGUGUGUAGGCGGCCUGUUAAGUCGGGUGUGAAAGCCCCGGGCUCAACCCGGGAAGUGCAUUCGAUACUGGCAGGCUUGAGUACGGGAGAGGGUCGCGGAAUUCCCGGUGUAGAGGUGAAAUUCGUAGAUAUCGGGAGGAACACCAGUGGCGAAGGCGGCGACCUGGACCGAUACUGACGCUGAGACACGAAAGCGUGGGGAGCAAACAGGAUUAGAUACCCUGGUAGUCCACGCUGUAAACGAUGGGUGCUAGUGUCGUGGGUAUUGACCCUCUGCGGUGCCGAAGUUAACGCAUUA
Molecule: ribosomal RNA, 880 nt
Filed under: uncultured bacterium
Lineage: Bacteria
Description: bacterial SSU rRNA
Rfam family: Bacterial small subunit ribosomal RNA
Source: RNAcentral